This 274-nucleotide ribosomal RNA is filed under the name uncultured bacterium. RNAcentral's name for it is "partial 16S ribosomal RNA". It matches the Rfam family "Bacterial small subunit ribosomal RNA", at positions 523 to 796 of the family's 1533-position model. The record is from RNAcentral.
AUACGGAGGGUGCGAGCGUUAAUCGGAAUUACUGGGCGUAAAGCGCGCGUAGGCGGCUAGGUCAGUCGGAUGUGAAAGCCCCGGGCUUAACCUGGGAAUUGCAUUCGAUACUGCCUGGCUAGAGUAUGGGAGAGGGAAGUGGAAUUUCCGGUGUAGCGGUGAAAUGCGUAGAUAUCGGAAGGAACACCAGUGGCGAAGGCGACUUCCUGGCCCAAUACUGACGCUCAGGUGCGAAAGCGUGGGUAGCGAACAGGAUUAGAUACCCCAGUAGUCC